Stomoxys calcitrans (stable fly) is the source of this 851-nucleotide long non-coding RNA. RefSeq lists it as uncharacterized. NCBI's taxonomy places the organism in Eukaryota, Metazoa, Arthropoda, Insecta, Diptera, Muscidae. The transcript is spliced from 4 exons. The record is from RefSeq and is a predicted model, not a curated record.
AGGAGGUCGCUCCACCUUUUCUCUGGAGUGGCAAUUGAUGCUGGCGGGCGCUGGCUGCUGGCGGUUGAGCUCCGGCUGUGGCUCAGUGGAUGGGGCGCGGUUCUUUACCGACACCUAUUGCCAAAAAGGAGGGACAAAAAAAACUAAAAUCAACCAGCUUGUGGAUGGACAAAUACAGCGGGUUCCUGGUUCUAAUGGCGACUGUUCCGGAUAAAAUCCAAUGGAGUCCCUGGGUAUUGUGGUCCUGGUGGCAGCCUCUGCGCCCAAUAGGGUCCCUUUUAGGUUUUCGUUUGUCCGUCCGUCCGUCUAGUCUUUGGGGUUUUCUGAUGUGCUGCUUUCUCAGCACCGUAAGGUCAACAUUGGCUGAUGGGCCAAUGUCCUCUACUAUCCACUACCUAUCCUAACUAUGAGCUCAUGUUUAGGUACCUGUAUCGAACCCAACCAAAGGAAAAAACUUUUUUAACAAAAUAAAUCUGUCGAGAGUCAACGGUCUGUAUGCCUGUCGGUUUAUGGUCGGAGAAACUUUUUGGACUACCUUAUGGACACUGGGGUAUGCGACAGCGUCUAGGUCCCUCGGUGGAGUAGCGACAGGGGUUGUGGAUAUGCCAUUUGCAGCAGCUGAAGUCUUUUAUGUGUGUGGCAGUGGAGGUGGAGGAGUCUUGGGUUUCGCUUUUAUUUUUGGACUUAAGUUUUAAGCUUUAAAUUUUAUAUUAUAUGAUUUGAUUUUUUUUAUAUUUCUUUUCGGUGUUUUUCUUUUUUUUAAUAAAUGUUUCUUUUUCUUUUAGGUUUUAACAACUUUACUUUCUUUUUUCAACUUUUCGAUUUCUUUUAUUUCUUUCAUUUUUUAGGUU